CGUUUGUGUCCGCUGAAAGCCUCCACCUGCACUCUGUGUCACUUUCAUUUGAGAUGUUGUCAUUCUUUGUCAGACUUCUCUGAAUUUUAGGAAAAGGGCAGAAAAGGAGAAAGAAAAAGAGGGGAAAAAAGAAAGAAAGAAGGAAAAAGGGAAGACAACUGCUGGCAGUCAUACUGAAGUGUGUCCUGGCUCCCCAGUAUGUAAUGAUGGUCUUAGAGCUGAGGAAAGGAGAGAAUCAUGAAAAAUGCCUCGAGUAUGAGUGGGAUUCCAAGCAAAACUAGAAAAACAACCUACCCUUUUUGUGUUUUAUAGUACUUUACUAUAUCAUCCUAAAGCUAGGUUUUUGUGUCAGCGCUCAGCAGAUUUCAGUGGGACUUUAAAGAAGCAAUUGCUAGCACACCCAGACAUAAUACAGAUGUUCCAGUGAUGACAUAUCAGCAGAAAGAGUGCCUCCUCCCUCUUCCUUAUUCCUUAUCUAAUCUUGUU
RNAcentral lists this long non-coding RNA (486 nucleotides) under Gallus gallus (chicken). RNAcentral's name for it is "lncRNA (ENSGALG00010005022.1)". Lineage: Eukaryota; Metazoa; Chordata; Aves; Galliformes; Phasianidae. The record is from RNAcentral.